Molecule: long non-coding RNA, 2544 nt
Organism: Humulus lupulus (European hop)
Lineage: Eukaryota; Viridiplantae; Streptophyta; Magnoliopsida; Rosales; Cannabaceae
Exons: 10
Source: RefSeq, a predicted model, not a curated record
GGAGAUCCAUCGGAUAAGUAUACUGUUGUUGGGAGGUCAUUUUUUCACCUCACACUGGGGCGUCCUGGUGAGCUUGCAGAUGGCAUAAUCUAUCGGAAAGGGUACUAUCAAAGUUUGAGGCCAAUUCAGUUGGGGCUUUCUCUUAACAUUGAUGUUUCAGCAAGGGCUUUUUAUGAAACUAUAAGGGUAUCUGAUUUCGUUUUCAAAAGCUUUAAUGUCAGAGACGAUCUAAGGCCAUUGCAUGAUCAAGUCCGACUCCAGGUUCUUGCAUAUUACUAAGUUGGAUAUCGGUGAUUUUCUUAUCUAUUAUUAACAUUAUUAAAAGAAAGUUAUAUCUAUUUUUACUGCUGCAACUAAAGAAAAAUUUGAAAGGGGUUAAAGUAGCAUGCAGUCAUUUGCAGAAUACAAGGACUUAUAAGAUUACUGGGAUAUCGACAGAGCCACUGAACAAAUUAAUGUUUUAAAGGUACAAACUGAAAUAUAGCAGAAAUAUUUAUGCUAAAGCCUCUAUGCUGUUACAGAAUGUCCCUCCUGCUAUCCUUCUUAGGUUCCUGCGAGAGCAUAGGUCAGAAUGGGCUGACAACAACAUUGACCUGGCUUCUGCUCUUGAAAUUGGACCAAAUGGAACCAAAGCUUGAAGUGAUUAUUCUGCAAACAAUGGUUGCGUGAGAUCUGUGAUGAUGAUAGCUUUUGAAUUUUCAUUUGAAAGCCAUAUGCAAGAACAUGUAAUACAUGAAGUGAAGAAACUUUGUAAUACAUGUCGCCGAUAUGCCAAGUCUGAGAGGGUCCUAUUUCAUUAUAAUGGCCAUGGUGUGCCUAAGCCGACUUCUAGUGGUGAAAUUAUAACUUUAACAGUUUAUUUUGACAAUUUUAUUUUAGAAUUUAGUACAUGAUAUCAACUUGUUGUUGCCUAAGCAUUUAGCUUCACUGUUUAGUGAAUCUCAGAGUCUUUCUGCCAUAGACUUCUUUCCCUCCAAUUGUAUAUUUAUUAAUAACAUGUAACCGCUCUUAGCCACGUGUUUAGUAGGUUGGUGUUUUAUGAAUGUUGUCUCACUUUUAGCAAAUUUACUCUAGUCUUGUUACAGACUUGUUGCAAUUCAGCCUUAAUUUUAUAAACUGGUUUCAUAAAGUAACUAAUGAUUCCUGGAGCUUAGUUUGUGAACAUAGUAUGUAGUUUUUAUUAAUUUUUGUUACCUACUUCUUAAGUUUAUUGUUUCAGAAGCUUCAAUCUUGGUUUCAAUGCCCAAAUGGUAAAUGGGAGCUUGCAAAAAUAUUGUCAAUCUCAAGGACCGAAUUUGUUAUUGCAUUGCCUGAUGAGAAAGUAAGAGAGCUAUUGAAACUUUUAUUUUUGCAGCAAGAGCUAUGGAAACUUUGAGCUGAGAUUUGAUUGUCUUUUUCCAUUAGAUAUUUGAUUUAUUUUAAUGUUCACUUAAUUAAUUUUAAUGUUUGAUUUAUUUUUCUGAGUGUAAAACUUUAUCUGUCAAAAUAUAGCAGAAAUAUUGUGGAAACAUUGAUGAAAUGUCAGAAAUAUCAAUUUAAUUUUGAAAAGUAUCGAAUAAAACACAAAAGAAACAAUUUAAAUCAUAUUUUUUAGUAUGAAAACAUAAUUGAUAGAGACUCUUGUAAGUAAUCUUUGUAGAGUAUCUUGUAACCACUUUAACAUCAUUUAUGAUUUUAGCAACUAUAGAAUGAAAUCUUGUGAUAGUGACUACUCUGAGGUUAUGAUGGUUUGUUGUGGACUCUGAAGUAUUAAAUAGUUUGUUUCUUUUCAAAUUCUCUCCAUCUCCACCUUUCUUUUGUGAGCUCAUAUGUUUCUAUAUUUUUGCAUCUAAAGGAGUUUGCAAGAACUCUCUUUUGUGUUACUGCUGCCAGAUUCAGAGGAUGCAAUUUCAUCUAGUUCUUCCUUUUAAAAAGGGGAGUCUUCCAUUUUAAAUGAGCACAUGGUUGUGCUGUUGUCUGGAGCUGUUUAUGCUCUUUCUGCCUAUAUGGGUUUGUCCAGGAAAUGAUUAAAGAUCAAGUUGCAAACAUGUAUUUAUGGCUCAAAUCUCUAGAAGUACAAAGUAUGGAUCCAACAAAGUAAAGAUCUGAGCCCAAGGUAAGGCAUCUAGGACACUUAGCUGGUGGUGCUUUAACCAAUGCAUUGGGUGUUGGAAGAAAAUGGUAAGGAUGGUGGUUGAUGAGAGCUCAGGAGGAUUUGGUUUCACAGGGAAGAAUGAGAUUAUAAAUGGGAAGGCAGCUGUAAUUGGGUUCUUGCUGUAAUUGGGUUCUUGAUGAGAGCUCAGUUGGAUUUGGUUUCAGUCGUUGUUUUGCAUGGUAUAUUGAGAUGAUUUCUUUGGAGCAAUUCUUGACAACAUUUGUAGUUGAGGCCUUUAGAAUGGAAGAAUGUAUUUCACUAAUUUUUGUAUACAUGUCUUGUUUUGUAUUUAGUGAUAAAUGAAUCUGAAUUUGGCAUAAAUUAUGUUGUAAUAUGAUUUCUUAAGCCUAGACUAGUAGACUAAAUAUUGUAAUUACAUUUGAGUAAUUAAUAAAAAUCUAUUUAUGCUA